RNAcentral lists this ribosomal RNA (256 nucleotides) under uncultured bacterium. Its description in RNAcentral is "partial 16S ribosomal RNA". It matches the Rfam family "Bacterial small subunit ribosomal RNA", at positions 524 to 776 of the family's 1533-position model. The record is from RNAcentral.
UACGGAGGGUGCAAGCGUUAUCCGGAUUCACUGGGUUUAAAGGGUGCGUAGGUGGGCAGGUAAGUCAGUGGUGAAAUCUCCGAGCUUAACUCGGAAACUGCCGUUGAUACUAUUUGUCUUGAAUAUUGUGGAGGUAAGCGGAAUAUGUCAUGUAGCGGUGAAAUGCUUAGAUAUGACAUAGAACACCAAUUGCGAAGGCAGCUUACUACACAACGAUUGACGCUGGAGGCACGAAAAGCGUGGGGGAGCAAACAGG